UACGGAGGGGGCAAGCGUUGUCCGGAUUUACUGGGCGUAAAGAGCACGUAGGUGGUCUGUUAAGUCGGCUGUGAAAGCGCUGGGCUCAACCCAGCAAUGUCAGUCGAUACUGAUAGACUCGAGUCCGGGAGAGGGAAGUGGAAUAGCUGGUGUAGCGGUGGAAUGCGUAGAUAUCAGCUAGAACACCGGUGGCGAAGGCGGCUUCCUGGACCGGUACUGACGCUGAGGUGCGAAAGCUAGGGGAGCGAACGGG
This 253-nucleotide ribosomal RNA is filed under the name uncultured bacterium. Its description in RNAcentral is "partial 16S ribosomal RNA". It matches the Rfam family "Bacterial small subunit ribosomal RNA", at positions 524 to 776 of the family's 1533-position model. The record is from RNAcentral.